UUUUAUUCUCAGGGCGGGGCGAAAUUCCCCACCGGCGGUAUACCUUUUAGGUGAGCCCGCGAGCGCUCGAUUCGUCGAGGUCAGCAGAUCUGGUGAGAAGCCAGAGCCGACGGUUAGAGUCCGGAUGAGAGAGAAUGAAA
This 140-nucleotide non-coding RNA is filed under the name Vibrio sp. RNAcentral's name for it is "FMN sequence". It matches the Rfam family "FMN riboswitch aptamer (RFN element)". Rfam says of the family: The RFN element is a highly conserved domain that is found frequently in the 5'-untranslated regions of prokaryotic mRNAs that encode for flavin mononucleotide (FMN) biosynthesis and transport proteins. This element is a metabolite-dependent riboswitch that directly binds FMN in the absence of proteins. Lineage: Bacteria; Pseudomonadati; Pseudomonadota; Gammaproteobacteria; Vibrionales; Vibrionaceae. The record is from RNAcentral.